Molecule: non-coding RNA, 1614 nt
Organism: Ictidomys tridecemlineatus (thirteen-lined ground squirrel)
Lineage: Eukaryota; Metazoa; Chordata; Mammalia; Rodentia; Sciuridae
Source: RefSeq, a predicted model, not a curated record
UUAAAAAAUAAAAAGGGGCUGUGGAUGUAGCAUGGUCUUAGAGCACCCUGGGUUUAAUCCCCAGUACCACCAAAAAAAAAAAAAAGUUAUUUCUAAGUGAAUAAAUCAUAUAUGUUGAAGUAAAGACUCAUAUCCCAGUAGGGCAGACAAACUUAUUUGUUGAAUUUUAAUAGUUUAAAAUACAAGCAAAGAUUUAUCAGAUUACAGAAAAUUAUGGUAUUUUAAAAAAGAUUUUAGCAUUAAAAAAUACCUGUAAUUUUUAAUAUUUUUAUCUGUUUAUGGGUGUUUUAUUUCUCUGGGACCCAUUAUAUGAAAUUGCUGGGUUGUAUAAAAAACUCAUUUUAACCAACUGUUUUCCAGAAUGGUGGCACCAUUUUACAUUUCAACCAACAAUGUAUGAGGAACCCAAUAUCUGCUCUGCAUAAUCUUGCCAGCAUUUGGUACUCUAUUUUUCAUUUUAGCUAUUCUUUUUGUUGUUUUUACCUUUGUCUUUCUACUAUGAUCUUUAACAAAGCUUAAGAAAACAAGGGUUGCCAAGCUCCCACAUGCCUCUGAUCCCAGCUACGCCAAGGUAGAAGACCAUGGCAAGUUCGAGACCAGCCCGAACCAUUUCAAAAUAAAAAAGGAAUUAAAAAAUGACUGGGAUUUAGCUCAGCAGUAAAGCACUUGUUUAGCAUGUGCAAGGCCCUGGAUAUUCCUAGUACCAGUGGGGGGGGGGGGAGAAAACAAGUUAUCUCAAAGUAUUCAGACAUAAACACUAUUAAAAUAGCAGGGCCUGGUGGCAUACACCUGAAAGGGCUAAGGAAAAUAUUAAAGAUCUUCCUUGUCCACGUGCCUGCCAGGACCUUCAAACAUCUUUGAUGGAACAUCUAAAGAAUGCUGACUUCCUAGGGGGCUUGGCUGGCUCACUCGGACACUCACUUACCUCAAGGCCACCACUCCCUCCCUUGGAAAUCUGGCCAGUACUAGUGGGGAUGAAGUGUCCUUGAGGGGAUGGGUAGUUGUUAGAAUGAAGUUUUCUUUGUUCUAAUUUGUAUUUAAGAAGCCCCACUGGGGUCUCACCACUGGAGAGGAUGCUCUGCUGGGGACUUCCUAGUCAGGAACCUGAAAAGCUGCCCAGGAACUCUCCUGUUCCAUGACUUCAGGUUGCCUGCUCUUGAAGACUGUUAAGAGGGACUGCAGCCAUGCAACCAAAACCCUCAACAAAGGCAUCUCCAAGUUCCCUGUGAUGGCUGCAGAUGCUGAAUCCCUAGAGAUCACCCUGGACAUCUUGCUAUUAUGAUGAAGACAAGAAUGUGCCCUGUAUGUUUGUGUGCUCCAAGUGGGCCCUAAGCAGACCUGUGAGGUCUCCAGGCUUGUCAUCGUGUGUUCUGUCACCAUCAAAGAAGUCUCUCAACUGAAGCUGCAGAUCCAGUCCAUUCAGCAGUCUAUUGAAAGUCUCUUAGUCUAAGCCUGCGGCUUCUGCCCUGCUCUCCCCACCAACCUCUCCAACCCCAGGUUUUGUAUCAUAUUGUCUAUCUUAGCAUGUAGUCAGUAGCUUUCUAUUAUAAAAUAUUGUACAAAAAGAAAGUUUACUUCUAAUGUGGACUAUAAUAUAAAACUUGUUGAAAUCAA